GACGAACGCUGGCGGCGUGCCUAAUACAUGCAAGUCGAACGAGAGCGACCGGUGCUUGCACUGGUCAAUCUAGUGGCGAACGGGUGAGUAACACGUGGGUAACCUGCUCAUCAGAGGGGGAUAACAUCCGGAAACGGAUGCUAAAACCGCAUAGGUCUUCGAGCCGCAUGGCUUGAAGAGGAAAAGAGGCGCAAGCUUCUGCUGAUGGAUGGACCCGCGGUGCAUUAGCUAGUUGGUGAGGUAACGGCUCACCAAGGCCGUGAUGCAUAGCCGACCUGAGAGGGUGAUCGGCCACAUUGGGACUGAGACACGGCCCAAACUCCUACGGGAGGCAGCAGUAGGGAAUCUUCCGCAAUGGACGCAAGUCUGACGGAGCAACGCCGCGUGAGUGAAGAAGGUGUUCGGAUCGUAAAACUCUGUUGUUAGAGAAGAACAAGUGCUAGAGUAACUGUUAGCGCCUUGACGGUAUCUAACCAGAAAGCCACGGCUAACUACGUG
RNAcentral lists this ribosomal RNA (498 nucleotides) under uncultured bacterium. RNAcentral describes it as "partial 16S ribosomal RNA". It matches the Rfam family "Bacterial small subunit ribosomal RNA", at positions 28 to 507 of the family's 1533-position model. The record is from RNAcentral.